Long non-coding RNA from Neogale vison (American mink), 512 nucleotides. RefSeq lists it as uncharacterized. The transcript is spliced from 3 exons. The record is from RefSeq and is a predicted model, not a curated record. NCBI's taxonomy places the organism in Eukaryota, Metazoa, Chordata, Mammalia, Carnivora, Mustelidae.
CCCAGGACCCUAACAUCAUGACCUGAGCCGAAGGCAGAGGCUUUAACCCACUGAAUCAUGCAGGCACGCCUCUACGUGGAAUUUUUAAGUGAAGCUUUAUGGCUGGUGACAAAAAUGCAGCCCAGCAUCCAUGCCUCAGGUGGGAGCUUCCAUGAAGAGACAUCUAGAGUCUCCAAAUGCUGAACAAAUACUCAUGGAAAAGAACUUGGAAAUGGUCCAUCUGAACACGGUUCAGGUCAGAUUUUAAGUAAUCUCUGUACCUGAUGUGGGACUCGAAGUCACAAUCCUGAGAUCAAGAUCACAAUCCUGAGCUCAAGAUCACGAUCCUGAAAUCAAGCAUGCUCUACUGAUUGACCAAGCCAAGUGACCCUCGUAUGUUUAGAUAUAGACCCAUUUAUGUAUUUUAUUUAAAAUUUCAUUUACUGGUAGAUCUUGUAAUUGUAGAUCUCCAUCCCAAAGAAAAGUGAUGUGACUAUAUAACAAUAGCAAAUUCCUUCUUUUAAAAACUUCUC